This is a long non-coding RNA of Peromyscus californicus insignis, 1228 nucleotides long. RefSeq lists it as uncharacterized. The record is from RefSeq and is a predicted model, not a curated record. NCBI's taxonomy places the organism in Eukaryota, Metazoa, Chordata, Mammalia, Rodentia, Cricetidae. The transcript has 2 exons.
AAAACCAGAGCAAGUGCUCCCCACUGAGCUAUGUACCUAGCUCACAGAAAUCAUCUUAGAUUCUGAGCAGUAAGGCUCAGGCAAGAGAAUUCUGAGUGACAGCCAACACAGUUCCGCAAGAGAAAGGAGGUGUGGCGGCGGCGGCGGUGGCGGCGGGGUGCUCAGAGGAAACUACAGGGUCCAGAGCUCUGUGACAGCUGAGGACAGACAGGCAGCUGAGGGCAUCUCAGGACAGCUUCAGUUUUAUAUUAUUCCUGAGACUACACACUAACUAAACCGCCUACAACUGCCUGUGGAAGGACAGGGGCAGCCAUAAAAGGGACUAGUGAAGAGGAGGAGCUUUGUGACAUUUGCAGUCUGGAGGGAGAGAGUGGAGGGUGAUGGGUAGCUGUUUCCUUUGAUUGAAGUGUCCCUCUCUGGUGUGUUGGGGUACAAGGCCUACCCAACUCACAAGAAGUCCUGUCUCCGAGGCCCUCCCUGGAGUUACAGAAGCUGUAAACAGUUCCUGAGGAAGAGGAGACUCUCAGGUGGUGCCGCCUGCAAGCUAGGCACGGACUGCAGUGAUGCAUCUUUUGCAGUUGCCUGGCUCUCCUGUGCUUCUGCAAGUAACCCCAAUAGACUCAAUGGUUCACCAGGCUGGAAGUGGCUGCAGUCGUUACUUUGACAUGCUGUUCCCACCUCUAUCUGGGGAAACCAAAAUAGUCUUUCCAGGAAAAGUCAUGCCCGCAGAGGAAGUGUCUAAGAAGGAAGAGAGGAUCAACACCACCCCACCACCCAUGGACUCAACAAGCAGCGUUCAGGAGCCUCUGCCUCCUGGCUUGGGCUCUACCUGAGGUCAGCUGAGUAACAAAGGACCAAUCCAGGCCACCGAGUGCGUGAAGAGUGUAGGCCUGUUUGAAUGAGCAUUCAUGACAUGAGCAUGGCCAUGUCAAGGACACCAGUGCCUCUGAUUCAUGGGAACUGCAAGGCCUUUCCCUGGUCCAAGUAUGGAUGUUGAUGAUGGGUGACCUGUGGCUAAAAACAGUAGCACAAAUAAUACAGAGCUUCCUAGUCCCAGAUGACUUUGUGAACACACCCUCAGAGGCUGCUCCUCUGCAGAGACCACCUACUGAGAUCAGCUGACCAGCCUCCUUGUCCGUACUGUAUAUAAUAAACACAGAUUGGCUGACCAGCCUCCUUGUCCACACUGUAUAUAAUAAACACAGAUUAGCUGACCAGACACACAGAG